RNAcentral lists this ribosomal RNA (1505 nucleotides) under uncultured prokaryote. Its description in RNAcentral is "partial 16S ribosomal RNA". It matches the Rfam family "Bacterial small subunit ribosomal RNA". The record is from RNAcentral.
AGAGUUUGAUCCUGGCUCAGAACGAACGCUGGCGGUAUGCUUAACACAUGCAAGUCGAACGCGAAAGUUCCUUCGGGAACCGGUAGAGUGGCGCACGGGUGAGUAACGCGUAGAUAAUCUACCCCUUAGUCUGGGACAACCUUCCGAAAGGAGGGCUAAUACUGGAUAAUACCUUUUGUCGAGUGGCUUUAGGUUAAAAGAAUUUCGCUAGGGGAUGAGUCUGCGUAACAUUAGCUUGUUGGGUGAGGUAAGGGCUCACCAAGGCUUCGAUGUUUAGCGGGUCUGAGAGGAUGAUCCGCCACACUGGAACUGAGACACGGUCCAGACUCCUACGGGAGGCAGCAGUGGGGAAUUUUGCGCAAUGGACGAAAGUCUGACGCAGCAAUACCGCGUGAGUGAAGAAGGCCCUUGGGUCGUAAAGCUCUUUGUUUAGGGGAAGAUAAUGACGGUACCCUUGAAUAAGCACCGGCGAACUCCGUGCCAGCAGCCGCGGUAAUACGGAGGGUGCAAGCGUUGUUCGGAUUUACUGGGCGUAAAGGGCGCGUAGGCGGCAAAGCAAGUUAAGGGUGAAAUCCCGAGGCUCAACCUCGGAACUGCUCUUAAAACUGCUUAGCUAGAGACAAUCAGAGGUGGGUGGAAUUCCUGGUGUAGAGGUGAAAUUCGUAGAUAUCAGGAGGAACACCGGCGGCGAAGGCGGCCCACUGGGGUUGAUCUGACGCUAAGGCGCGAAAGCGUGGGGAGCAAACGGGAUUAGAUACCCCGGUAGUCCACGCCGUAAACGAUGAAUACCAGCUGUUUGGACAUUCGACCGUUCAAGUGGCGCAGCUAACGCGUUGAGUAUUCCGCCUGGGGAGUACGGUCGCAAGACUAAAACUCAAAGGAAUUGACGGGGGCCCGCACAAGCGGUGGAGCAUGUGGUUUAAUUCGACGCAACGCGAAGAACCUUACCUGGGUUUGACAUCCCCGGACCGCUACAGAGAUGUAGUUUUCUCUUCGGAGACCGGGUGACAGGUGCUGCAUGGCUGUCGUCAGCUCGUGUCGUGAGAUGUUGGGUUAAGUCCCGCAACGAGCGCAACCCUUGUCCUUAGUUGCCAGCAGUAAUGGUGGGAACUCUAAGGAGACUGCCGGUGUUAAGCCGGAGGAAGGUGGGGAUGACGUCAAGUCCUCAUGGCCUUUAUAUCCAGGGCUACACACGUGCUACAAUGGCACCUACAAAGAGCAGCGAGACCGCGAGGUGGAGCGAAUCUCAAAAAAGGUGUCUCAGUUCGGAUUACAGUCUGCAACUCGGCUGUAUGAAGUUGGAAUCGCUAGUAAUCGUAGAUCAGCGUGCUACGGUGAAUACGUUCCCGGGCCUUGUACACACCGCCCGUCACACCAUGGGAGUUGACAUUGGCAGAAUACAUUGGGCUAACCUUCGGGAAGCAGGUGUGCAAGCUAGUGUUGAUGACUGGGGUGAAGUCGUAACAAGGUAGCAGUAGGAGAACCUGCGGCUGGAUCACCUCCUU